GAUGAACGCUGGCGGCGUGCCUAAUACAUGCAAGUCGAGCGAACGGACGAGAAGCUUGCUUCUCUGAUGUUAGCGGCGGACGGGUGAGUAACACGUGGAUAACCUACCUAUAAGACUGGGAUAACUUCGGGAAACCGGAGCUAAUACCGGAUAAUAUUUUGAACCGCAUGGUUCAAAAGUGAAAGACGGUCUUGCUGUCACUUAUAGAUGGAUCCGCGCUGCAUUAGCUAGUUGGUAAGGUAACGGCUUACCAAGGCAACGAUGCAUAGCCGACCUGAGAGGGUGAUCGGCCACACUGGAACUGAGACACGGUCCAGACUCCUACGGGAGGCAGCAGUAGGGAAUCUUCCGCAAUGGGCGAAAGCCUGACGGAGCAACGCCGCGUGAGUGAUGAAGGUCUUCGGAUCGUAAAACUCUGUUAUGAGGGAAGAACAUAUGUGUAAGUAACUGUGCACAUCGUGACGGUACCUAAUCAGAAAGCCACGGCUAACUACGUG
Molecule: ribosomal RNA, 497 nt
Filed under: uncultured bacterium
Lineage: Bacteria
Description: partial 16S ribosomal RNA
Rfam family: Bacterial small subunit ribosomal RNA
Source: RNAcentral